UUAGAUCAGAUCUUUGUGGCAGGCCUUAGUGACCUGUGAGAUCUGCUUUUGCCAGAGAAGAGGCUGGAUUAACCUUGCUCUGCGUCCUGGAUACUUUGUUGAUAGACUUUUAUCUAACCUGUGUUGCCACGUUGUACAUCAUUGUUUCUGGGAGGUGGAGCUGGAGUUAGGACACACUUCUUUUGAGACUGGAAUCCACAUCUUGAAGACUGUGCUUGAGAAAAUUUGAGACUUUACUAACUCUACAAGUAGAUUCUUGAGGCAGUUGUUUCUUUGCAGUUAUUAAUUCAAGUCCCAAAGAAUAAUGACAGGAAAUGUAUUUCUGACUACUCAGAAGUGACUCAUUACGGGACUAUUUGAAACUAUGUAUUUUUUUUUUUAUCAGAAAGUACAACUCUCUAUGGUCAAUGUUAUCUCUUCAAAUCCAAGUGAUCUUAAAAUCCGGCUACCUACUUCCCUUCAAAACAACAGAUCUCAAAGCUGAGGAGGAGAAAACCCACUAUUCUUUGCAAGGCUGACAGCUUCUCUUGCUCCCAUUGCAUAUCGAUCAUGACAUCCUCCUCUGCAAAACAAGAUAGACAAGAUGGACAUUUCCAUCCCAUCGCCAAUGACUGCCACUCCUUGGGAGAUACCAGGAUUAGCAGAGGGUGUAUAAUCAGCAGACCCUGGCACAGUUUCAUGGUCUAUAGUAAAACAGGAAGACUGGGGAGAGCUGCUGAAAGCCUUUCUUGGAGGGCUUUUGUGAAGAGAAAAGCCUUUGAGUGUUUCCUCCCUAACAAAGGAUGACUAGGGGCUCCUCGGUCAUUUCCCACGGCUGGUCUAGACUAAAAGCAAGAGAGGAAGAUCUCGUUUCCGGGGGACAUGAGAUGGAAGGAGCCUUUGAAACCGGUUCCUGCGUGAAAAACUACAGGAGUGUCAGCCUGAGCAGGCAGGGUGAAGCCGGGGACGGUGAGCUAUAACAGUCUCCACAGGAAAGGAGAAGUUCAGCUUUGGCCCUGCCUCAGUCUCAGGAAUCUUGGUGAUUGGCCUGACCGAGAAUUCCAGAAGUGGACAUCCCCUGGAUUUGUGUUCUGAAGUCAGAUUUCACCGCUGUGGUUUAUGUGCCCGACCCCCUGAAGUUCCUGCUCCCGUUGUGGCAGGGAGCCUGGAUAGUCCUGGCCUCUGAUGCCGGUGCCCUGUGGCCACACAAACACUCCGAGGCUCCUUCUGGAGCCACAGCUUCUGGGAAAGACAUUUCGGAAGUUUCCUGUGGCUGUGACAAAUUGCUCAGGUCUGCACCACAGCAAGGCUGUGACCUGCCUUUCUCCACCUUGGCAAGCUAGCUUCUGAAGCUGGCAAAGGUCCCAUGUCCCUGCAGGCUCUGCUUCAUGGGAGUCAAAGGGGAGGACCAAUCAAGUGUCCCUGUCUGUGGAGACAUGGUAUGAUGGAGAAUGAGGUAGACAGUGAUCAAGUUUGGGACCCGAGAAAGUCUGUGGCUUCAGGCAGAUGGAGAGGCUGGGGACAUGCAGAAAACAGUUUCUUGUGGAAGAUUUUAUCAAUGGAAAGGUCACUUGAUUCCUGCCUUUUCUAACCACUGAUGUGUGACUAUGUCAAGGUGGUGGCAUGUCCUGGAAGGCAGCGUUCUGGACCCUGAAGCACGAUGAUAUUAGUUUCCGGAGGACCAGAGACCCCAAGCCCACUCCCGGGCACAGAGAGGUUGACUGGCAUGAGUUUCCCUGCCUUCCCCUUCUCUAGGGUUCUACCCUUCCCUGUCUGGAUUUUUAAAAAAUACAUUUCUGAAUUUAAUAGUCCCUUCUUGGUAACUGGAAGGAAGACAAACCUUGACUAUCUGGCAUCUUAAGGUUGAAGUCUCAGUUUUCUAAUAUCUAACUACUCGUCGAAACCAAGUUAUUUCCACGAAUGAAGUCUUUGGGGGACUUGCUUCAACCAACAGGCCAGAGGAUAAUUAGCACAUUAGUUAUUUGAUAGCAAAUUGAUUCUCUUAGGACAUAAAUAUAAUUAAAAGCAGUUUGUUCUAGUGUCUGCUGUUUAACCGUUGCCCACUGCAUUCUGGGGUUUUCACUUAGCUUGCCAAAUAAACUCAGACUUUGUGAGUUCACAAGCUAACCUCUGGCCGGUCCCACUUACUCUAAAUAUAUUCUGGUAAAAUGGGUUCAGCAACUCAAGGCAUUUUCUGUUCGUUUGAUUGUUUUGUUUUGUUGUUGUUGUUAUUUUUUUUCCCCUUAAAGGGAUCAAGAACUCUUACCACUGUUGUGGAAAGCCACCUGUGAACUUCCUCUAAUAUGAACUUGGGCACACAGGGACCUCCUUGAAUGUCACACUUACCUUGUUCUGGGACCAUAAAGAGAUGUAUUUUUGUUUCCCAUCCUAAACAUUGUGUAACUCACUCCUCAUUUUCCCACGGAGAUUAUGGUAAUAUGGGGGAGUGCUGUCGGUCUCUGGGAUAAAGCACCUUGUAAAACAACCAUGGGGGAUUCCAAAUCUGCCUUAAUCAACCUUUCUCCAGAUCUGCAGACCAAUAAAAUUGCUUGCAUUCUUACCACA
Cricetulus griseus (Chinese hamster) is the source of this 2544-nucleotide non-coding RNA. Lineage: Eukaryota; Metazoa; Chordata; Mammalia; Rodentia; Cricetidae. The record is from RefSeq and is a predicted model, not a curated record.